This 1317-nucleotide ribosomal RNA is filed under the name Triticum aestivum (bread wheat). RNAcentral describes it as "partial small subunit ribosomal RNA". The record is from RNAcentral. Lineage: Eukaryota; Viridiplantae; Streptophyta; Magnoliopsida; Poales; Poaceae.
AUGAAGAGGAAUGGUGACAUUCAGUCCUUUUUUCGGAAUUAUGAGGCUGCUAAAAGAAAGAAGGUUGCAGCCGAAGAGCAACCUGAAGAUAUAGUGUCAAAUAUUGAAGAUGAAGCAGUCCAUAAUCCACCUCCAGUCCAUUCUGCAGAGAUUGAAUUUGAUAUUGAAGAUGAAGCAGUCCAUUCCGAUGUAGAGAUUGAAAGUGAUUGUGAAGAUGAAGCAGUCCAUUCUCCGUGUGCAAGGCCAUAUAAUAUUCAAAGGCUUCCUCCUGAUCCAGGGGAGAGGAUUCCUAUUUCAGAGUAUGAUGUCGAUGAUCAAGAUGAAGUUCGGAGACGAUACAUUGCAAAGCAAGCAGUCCAACCAUAUGCACACAACUUUCAAGUCAGAAAAAUCUAUGGAAAAUCGAAUGGGGGGCCUAGGGGUGAUGCCUUUGUUAAUGGUGGUUGGAAAAAUUGGUAUAAGCCCGAUGCAUUGGUCAAACAUGUUUUCAAUCUUCACUUGAUGCUUGUUAUUCUUGGCUAUACAAAUGAGUUGUCCAAAUCUGUGCAAAAGAGAGAUCAAGAUAUUGUCAAUGCAAUGACACUUGUUAGUUUGGCGAAGAGUAGAAUGCAACACAUGAGGUCUCAUGGUUGGGAAGAAUUUCUUGCAAAGCUAACCUUAUUUUGCAACAAACAUGACAUUCAAGUUCCUUUGUGGGAGGAUAUUUAUAAGCCUAAUCGAAGAUCACGUCGGUAUUAUGAAGUACAAACAAAUGAUGAUCGUUAUAGAAGAGAAGUAUAUCUUGGUGUCAUUGAUCAAACCAUUCAAGAGCUUGACAAUCGGUUUGAUGAGGUUAAUACGGAGUUGCUUAUUUGCAUGUCGGCUUUGAAUCCCCUCAAUUCAUUUGCUUCUUAUGAUGCACUCAAGGUAAUGAGACUUGCUGAAUUCUAUCCCAUGGACAUUUCAAGCACAGAUUUGAUAAGGCUAGAAUUUCAACUUACUAAUUUUAUUGAUGAUAUGAGACAAGAUGAUAGGUUUAGAAAUGCAAGUAAUAUUGGUGAGCUCUCUAUUAUGCUUGUUGCAACAAAGAAGCAUGUUCUUUAUGACUUGGUCUACUUACUCAUCAAAUUGAUAUUGAUUUUACCGGUGGCGACGGCAAGUGUUGAAAGAGUAUUUUCAGCAAUGAAUCUAGUGAAAAAUAAGUUGAGGACUACUAUGGGUGAUGAUCGCUUGAAUGAUUGCUUGGUGACAUUUGUUGAACGGGAUGUGUUCAUGGAAGUAAGCAAAGAUGACAUAGUUAAUGCUUUCAUGGCAAUGCAAAAACGUAGAGUUACCUAG